GACGAACGCUGGCGGCGUGCUUAACACAUGCAAGUCGAACGGAAAGGCCCUGCUUUUGUGGGGUGCUCGAGUGGCGAACGGGUGAGUAACACGUGAGUAACCUGCCCUUGACUUUGGGAUAACUUCAGGAAACUGGGGCUAAUACCGGAUAGGGGCUCCUGCUGCAUGGUGGGGGUUGGAAAGUUUCGGCGGUUGGGGAUGGACUCGCGGCUUAUCAGCUUGUUGGUGGGGUAGUGGCUUACCAAGGCUUUGACGGGUAGCCGGCCUGAGAGGGUGACCGGCCACACUGGGACUGAGAUACGGCCCAGACUCCUACGGGAGGCAGCAGUGGGGAAUAUUGCACAAUGGGCGGAAGCCUGAUGCAGCAACGCCGCGUGCGGGAUGACGGCCUUCGGGUUGUAAACCGCUUUCGCCUGUGACGAAGCGUGAGUGACGGUAAUGGGUAAAGAAGCACCGGCUAACUACGUGCCAGCAGCCGCGGUGAUACGUAGGGUGCGAGCGUUGUCCGGAUUUAUUGGGCGUAAAGGGCUCGUAGGUGGUUGAUCGCGUCGGAAGUGUAAUCUUGGGGCUUAACCCUGAGCGUGCUUUCGAUACGGGUUGACUUGAGGAAGGUAGGGGAGAAUGGAAUUCCUGGUGGAGCGGUGGAAUGCGCAGAUAUCAGGAGGAACACCAGUGGCGAAGGCGGUUCUCUGGGCCUUUCCUGACGCUGAGGAGCGAAAGCGUGGGGAGCGAACAGGCUUAGAUACCCUGGUAGUCCACGCUGUAAACGGUGGGUACUAGGUGUGGGGUCCAUUCCACGGGUUCCGUGCCGUAGCUAACGCUUUAAGUACCCCGCCUGGGGAGUACGGCCGCAAGGCUAAAACUCAAAGGAAUUGACGGGGCCCCGCACAAGCGGCGGAGCAUGCGGAUUAAUUCGAUGCAACGCGUAGAACCUUACCUGGGUUUGACAUGGAUCGGGAGUGCUCAGAGAUGGGUGUGCCUCUUUUGGGGUCGGUUCACAGGUGGUGCAUGGCUGUCGUCAGCUCGUGUCGUGAGAUGUUGGGUUAAGUCCCGCAACGAGCGCAACCCUUGUUCACUGUUGCCAGCACGUUAUGGUGGGGACUCAGUGGAGACCGCCGGGGUCAACUCGGAGGAAGGUGGGGAUGACGUCAAGUCAUCAUGCCCCUUAUGUCCAGGGCUUCACGCAUGCUACAAUGGCUGGUACAGAGAGUGGCGAGCCUGUGAGGGUGAGCGAAUCUCGGAAAGCCGGUCUCAGUUCGGAUUGGGGUCUGCAACUCGACCUCAUGAAGUCGGAGUCGCUAGUAAUCGCAGAUCAGCAACGCUGCGGUGAAUACGUUCCCAGGGCU
Molecule: ribosomal RNA, 1346 nt
Filed under: uncultured bacterium
Lineage: Bacteria
Description: partial 16S ribosomal RNA
Rfam family: Bacterial small subunit ribosomal RNA
Source: RNAcentral